This is a small nucleolar RNA of Capra hircus (goat), 130 nucleotides long. The record is from Ensembl. NCBI's taxonomy places the organism in Eukaryota, Metazoa, Chordata, Mammalia, Artiodactyla, Bovidae.
UAGAUGUGCUCAGAGCAGGAGGCCUGAAGAAAUGGCCCCUCUAUUUGUAACACACCUAACAGGGAUCUGGGUUCAUUGUAACAAGAGGCACAAAACUUGUGGCCUUCCUGUGAAUAAAUACCCUACACAU